UCUUCCCUUUCUCACACCCCCCACAAAGAACUUAUUGUUUGAACCAAGUUGGUUUUAUACUUAGAAUUUUGAUGCUAACAAAAGUAUUUUAUGAGAACAAUACAUUGGACUUCGCAUAGUUCGAAAGAAUAUUCAUGUUUUUGAAGACAAUCUAAAAUAAUAUUUGAUUCAGAUUCAUAAUUCAAGAAAAUCUUUGACCAAAUUGAAAAGAAGAUAUGGUCAAGAUUUGAUGAAAAUAUGAUCAACAUCUUAUCUACAAGAAGAUUUUGUCAAUAUUUAUCACUUGAAGACAUGAAUUAUUUACAAGAAGAUUUAACCAAGAUUUAUCUUGAAGAAGAUAUGAAUUAGCUACAAGAAGAUUUGAUCAAGAUUUAUCACAAGAAGAUCUAAAUUAUUUUCAAGAAGAUAUGAUCAAUAAUUGUUUACAAGAAGAAACACUCACAAGAAGAUACAUUUAUUAUUUUGCAAAUAUAUUGAAUUGGAGUUAGUCAUAUUCCUACUUGUUAAAGUUUAAGAACCGGUUAAACACGUUCCCGCCCAUAUCAAAGCAAGCCUUAGGAAGGAAGUUUCAUUUGAAGAAUUUGCGAUAGGAAUCUCAAUAAAAUACAAACAUUAUCACUCUGAAGGAUUUACAAACUCAAUCUGAACAAUAUAUAAACCAUAUCAAUAUGAUGAAUUUACAAACUCAAUCUGAACAAAAUACGAACAUAAUCAAUCUAGAAGAACUGCUCAAAUUGGAUUCAGAAAUAAAGAAUUGGCUAAAAAUAAUAUUAUCAAAAAACAUCUUGUUUAGAAUUAUUUUUGAAUAUGAUCAUUGUUGACCAAGCUAGCAAUGAAGAUGUUGGAACCAAGUUGAUUUUAUACUUAGAGUUUUGAUGAUAACAAAAUUAUUUUAUGAGAAUAAUAUAUUUCACUUCACAUAGUAUGAAAGAAGAUUUGUGUUUGUGAAGAAAAUGUAAAAUAAAAUUUGAUUCAAAUUUCUAAUUGAAUAAAAUCUAAAAUAAUAUUUCAUACAAAUUUAUAAUUUAAGAAAAUCUAAAAUAAGAUUUGAUUCUGAUUUAUAAUUGAAGAAAAUAUUUGACCAAUUGAAACGAAAAUAUGGUCAUGAUUUGAAGAAGACUUGAUAAGAUUUAUCUACCACAAAAUAUGAACAUAAUCAAUCUGAAGAACUUACAAACUCGAUUUGAACAAAAUAUGAAUAUAAUCAAUCUAAAGAAUUUAUAAACUCAGUUUGAAUAAAAUACGAACAUAAUCAAUCAAGAAGAACUGCUCAUAUUGGAUUUAGAAAUAAAUAAUUGGCUAAAGAACACAUGAUAAAAAAACAUCUUGUUCAAAAUUAUUUUUGGUAUAAUUCAUAAUUAAACGAGGACUAAAUUAAAGCUCUUAUUUUAGCUAUAAAUAGAUACUCAUGACUAAAGAAGAAGAUAAUUGAAAAUCAGAAAAGAGUAGAAUGACUUGAGUUCAAAUUCCAAAUUCAUCUUAGAGUUCAAAGAGAGAAGCACUUGUUCAAGUUAGAAAUAUUUUCUAAGUAUUUUUUCUUAGAGUAUGAGAUGAUGAUGAUGAUGAUGAUGAUGAUGAUGAUGAUGAUGAUGAUGAUGAUGAUGAUGAUUAUUAUUAUUAUUAUUAUUAUUAUUAUUAUUAUUAUUAUUUAGGGUUUAGGGUAUUAUUUAAGUUGAUGUUUAUUGAGUAUUAUUUAAGUUAAGAGACAAUAGCUAUGAUAUUAUAUUCAAUCAAAAAAUAUGCAAGACAAUUAGUUAAAAGGAUGGAUCUGUAGUCCUUACAAGUUAUAGGAAAAACAACAUUUAUAAGAUAAAUUUAUUUAGUCUAGAGAAAGAAGAGGUCAAUUGUCUUAUGUCAGUAAAUGAAGAGAAACUAAUUUGGCAUAAAAGAUUAGGUCAUGCAAACCUUAGAUUAAUUUCAAAACUGAAUAAACAUCAACUAGUUUGAGGUCUACCUAAGCUUAAUUACAAAAUUGAACUUAUAUGUGAAGCUUAUCAAAAGGGAAAACAAACAAAGAACUCAUUUACCCCUAAGAACUCAGUCUCUACCUCAAAGCCCCUUGAGAUUUUACAUAUAGAUCUCUUUGAACCAAUGAAAAUAGCCUUUUUAAGUGGAAAGAAAUAUGAUUUUGUUAUAGUAAAUGAAUCCCACAAAGUGUUUAUCACAUUUUGCAAAAAUAUAAUGAAGGAAAAGGUUCUUAAGAUUGUAACAAUUAGAAGUGAUCAUGGAGGAGAAUUUGAAAACAAGUUCUUUGAAAGUUUUUGUGAUGAGAAAAGAAUCUCCCACAACUUCUCCUCUCCUAGAAGACCCCAACAAAAUGGAGUUAUAGAAAGAAAUAAUAGAUUACCCCCAAGAAAUGGCUAGAACCAUGUUAAAUUUGAUGACAUACAACUUGAUCUUGAAAAGUCAAAGCAAGAUGAUGAUAAUGCAUGUUUACCGGAACCAAAGGAAGUAGAUGUAGAAAAACCAGAAGAACCUAAAAAAUCAGAGGAUACAAUUAAAUCAAAAGUAGAUGACAAAUCUUCAGAGGAUGAAUUUGAUCAAGUCAAAAAUAAUCAAGAUAAGUCAAAAGGAAGAUAUGGAUGGAAGUACAAGUCAUCUCAUCCUAAAACUCUAAUAAUUGGAAGUGCAACUAAUCUUUUGAGGACCAGGUCAUCACUAAAGGAUACCACUUUGUUUGGCUUACUAUUAUUAAUUGAGCCUACCUCUGAUGAUGAAGAAUUAACAAAUGAUGGAUAGAUUCUUGCAAUGCAAAAAGAGUUAAAUGAAUUCAAGAGAAAUGAUAUUUGGGAUCUAGUACCUAGAGCAAAGAAGAACGAACAAUAUUGCAACCAAAUGGGUUUUCGGAAACAAGCUAAACGAAGAAGGUGAAAUGGUUAGAAACAAGGGAACACUUGUCGCACAAGGCUACAAUCAAUAAGAGGACAUCGAUUAAGCUGAGACUUUUGCUCCACUGGCUAGGUUAAAAGCAAUUUGUAUCCUACUUUCUUUGGCCGCACAUAAUAAGAUUACUUUAUUUCAAAUGGAUGUUAAAAGUGCUUUUCUAAAUGGUUAUAAAAGUGAAGAAGUCUAUGUUAAACAUUCCCAAGUUUAUAGAGUUCUGAAUUUCCAAAUCAUAUUUUUAAACUUAUGAAAUCUUUGUAUGGUCUAAAACAAGCACCAAGGGCAUGAAAUGACAGACUUAGUAUCUUCUUGCUUAAAAAUGACUUUGAAAGAGGACAAAUGGAUAACACACUUUUUAAAAAAAUCAAUAGGAGAUGACAUUCUUAUUAUUCAAAUUUAUGUUGAUGACAUUAUUUUUGGAUCUACUAAUGGCACUCUUUGCCAAUAAUUUUCUAAAUUGAUGCAACUUGAAUUUCAAAUGAGUAUGAUGGGGGAACUUAAAUUCUUCUUAGGAAUACAAAUUCAAUGAAGUAAAAAAGGUAUAUACAUUCAUCAAACUAAAUAUACAAAAGAGCUUUUCAAGUAGACUUGAUGAGUGAUUGCAAACCUAUGACUACACCAAUGCAUCCUACUUGUUCACUUGAAAAAUAUUAAUCAGGCCAAAAAAGUUGACCAGAAAAACUAUAGUGGAAUGAUAGGAUCCCUACUUUACCUUACUACUUCAAGACCUAACAUCAUGUUUUGUGUAUGUCUAUGUGCAAGAUUCCAAGCUGACCCUAGGGAAUCACAUUUAACUAUUGUGAAGAGAAUCCUUAGAUACCUAAUAUACACUACCCACAAAUGGAAAAACUACACAUUUCUAGGUGACAACUUAAUCUCUUGGUCAAUUAAGAGACAAAACACAAUUUUCAUGUCAACAUCAGAAGCUAAGUAUAUUUCAACAGUUGUUUAUAGCUCUCAACUACUUUGGAUGAAACAUCAACUAGAAGACCACAAAAUCCUAGAAACCAACAUUAUCAUUUAUUAUGACAAUACUUCUACCAUUUUCCUAACAAAAAACUUUAUACUUCAUUCUAUAGCUAAACACACAGAAAUCAAACACAAUUUCUUAGGGAAUUUGUUCAAAAAGAUGAGCUUAAUAUUCAGUUUGUAGAUAUCAUACAUCAAUGGGCUGACAUAUUCACCAAACCACUAGCUGAUGAUAGGUUUGACUUCAUCAAGAAAAACCUAAACCUCAUUCUUUUACCUAACUGAUGUUGUGCCAACGUUAGAGUAGUUUAAUUUCAUACUUAGGAUAAAAUUUAUAUUUUAUGUUUAUGUUAUUUUCAUUAUAUUAAAAAAAAGGGCAAAUUAAAAAUAAAAAAAGGCAAGUUUCACAUUCAAGUCUUUUUGUCUGAUGACAAAUAGGGGAAAAGAUGUUUGAUAAUGUGGGGAGAAAAAAUAUUUAGACUUAGAGGGAGCUUUAAGUAAAGAGGAGUCAAUGUAUUUAAAAGAAAAGUUGUUAUAAAAAAUAUAAUUUGUCUUCAUAAAAAAUUAGGAGAUUGUUGGAGUCAAGUUUGUUUUAUACUUAGAGUUUUAAUGUUAACAAAAGUAUUUUAUGAGAACAAUAUAUUUGACUUCACAUAGUAUGAAAGAAGAUUAAUAUUUUUUAAGAUAAUCUAAAAUAAGAUUUGAUUCAGAUUUAUAAUUGAAGAAAAUAUUUGACCAAGUUGAAAAGAAGAUAAGUCAAGAAUUGAAGAAGAUAUGACAAACAUCUUAUCUACAAGAUGAUAUGAAUUAUUUAAAAGAAAAUUUGAUCAAUAUUUAUCACAAGAUUAUAUGAAUUAUUUGCAAAAAGAUUUGAUCAAUAUUUAUCUCUAGAAGAUAUGAAUUAUUUAUAAGAAGAUUUGAUUGAGAUUUAUUUACAAGAAGAUAUGAAUUAUUUACAAGAAAAUUUGAUCAAGAUUUAUUACAAGAAGAUAUGAAUUAUUUACAAAAACAUAUGAAUUAUUUCGAAGAAGAUAUGAUCAAGAAUUGUUUCAUGAAGUAACACUCACAAGAAGAGAUAUUUAUUAUUUGCAAAUAUAUGAUUCAGAUUUUGACAAAGGAUAAAAUAAUGAAUUGGACUUAGUCAUAUUCCUACUUGUGAAAGUUCAAGAACCGGUCUGAUACUAUGAUCCCACCUUGAUCAAAACAAGCAAUAGGAUGGAAGUUUUAUUUGAAGAAUUUGCGAAAGCAAUCUUAACAAAAUACAAACAAUAUCAAUCUGAAGAAUUUACAACCUCAAUCUGAACAAAAUAUGAACAAUAUCAAACUAAAGAAUUUACAAACACAAUUUGAAAAAAAUACAAACAAAAACAAUAUGAAGAAUUUAUAAUACUCAAUAUAAACAAAAUACGGACAUAAUCAAUCUCGUAGAACUACUCAAAUUGGAUUCAUAAAUAAAGAAUUGGCUAAAGAACAUAUUACCAAAAAGCAAUUUGUUCAAAAUUAUUUUUGAAUAAGCUCAUUAAUGACAAACUUAUGAGUGAAGAUACAACUCAGAAUUAAACAAGAACUAAAUUGAAGUCCUAAUUUUAUCAAUAAAUAGACACUUAUAGGUGAAGAAGAAGAUCAUAAAAAAAAUCAGAAAAGAGUAGAAGAACUCAAGUUCAAAACUCCAAAUUCAUGUUAUAGUUCAAAGAGAGAAACACUUGUUUGAAUAAGAAAUAUUUUAAAGGGUUGUUCUUAGAGUGUGAUAUUUAUUGUUAUAAUAAUCUUGUCAGAAGCAACUACUUAAGUUCCAAACCUUUGUAUUCAAACGCGAUAGUUGUAAGACCCAUAAUUUUAAAGUAUACUUUAUGUAUUUUUGUGUAUUUUGGAUAUUGGCUCGGAGGCUUUUUAGCCAAAGUUUUAAUAUUUUGGAGUUUAUAUGACCAAAAAGAUAUUUGAUGCCGAUUAAAAUUAUUCGUCGAUAAAUAAAUUCAAUUAAGUGCGGUGAAUCCUUUACAGAGAAUUUAAUGUGUUACGGGUGAAAUGGUAAUUUAACAAAUAUCUAGAUAUUUUGAGAUAUUUGUUAAAAGUAAUUAAUAUAUAUAUAUCUAUAUGUAUAUAUUUGUUUGGAGAGAAAAGAAAAGGAAGUAGAAAGGAAAGAAGGAAAAAGAAAGAAGAGAAAAGCAAAGGAAAGAAAGAAAACAUUUCCAUCUCCUUCCUCUCCCUGCCUUGCAUGAACCUCCCUCUCUUCUCCUCCAUUUUCGUUUUUCUUUGCUUCCUUUAAGUUCGAGAAUUGAAACCCAAGGCUAGUGGGUGAGAAAGAUCAAGUUCUCAACUCCUUCCUCCUUCUCGGNNNNNNNNNNNNNNNNNNNNNNNNNNNNNNNNNNNNNNNNNNNNNNNNNNNNGAAGAAAAACGAUAUUAGGGAUUUCAAAAUCGUAAAACACAAACCUCACUGUUUCAUCUAGAUCUAAGCUUCGUUUCGUGAAGAGAUAGAAGGGAAAGUUGCUCACUACCACGCUACGGUGCUCGGGAACCAACUUUGGAGGCGACGUUGCGAGCGGAGAUUUUUACCGGAUUUACUCGCGGUACCGUAAUCGAACGUUAAAGCUAACGUGAAGGUAAGGGCUCCUUCCAAACUUUUAGUUUGCAUUUAGGGACUUAUCUGUGGUUGUGUGGAAAGGAAUUUGUUAGGGUUGAAGUGUUGAUUUGGGGUAAAAUGAAUCUAAGGCUUUAUGGGUAAAAUCUUAGAGUUAGGUUUUGGUUAUAUUGAUGAAUGUUUCGUGGAAAAUGAAUUUAAACUCAUUUAUGUAUGAUUUUGAGUAAAUGAAACUUGUUGUGUUUGAGUGGUAGAUUGUGUUGAUUUGUGUUCGUCGUAUUUGACGUGUUCUUAAUUAAUACUGAUGAAAUUCGUUGUGGGUAUGGUUGGAUUCUGUGGAAAAAUGAAUUAAUGUGUUUUGGUAUGAGUUGUGGAUUGGAUCUGAUAAUAGGUUGAGUUGUUUUGUGUGGAAUUUGAAAACCAUUAGAGUUAAACGAGUACUAAGAAUGGGGAAUCUCUUAAUGUCUACGCUUACUUAAUGUUGGCGUGAAAACCAUUAGAGUUAAACGAGUAUUAAAAAUGAGGAAUCUUUUAAUAUCUCGGUUUACUUAAUGCUGUUUUGGAAAAUCGUUUAAGUUAAAUGAGUAUUAAGAAUGGGGAAUCUCUUAAUGUCUUGUUUACUUAAUGUUGUUUUGGAAAAUCGUUUAAGUUAAAUGAGUAUUAAGAAUGGGGAAUCUCUUAAUGUCUUGUUUACUUAAUGUGUGUUUGUGAAAAUCGUUCGAUUGUUGUGGAUGGAGUCAGUGUAUGCUCAUGCAUUUCAUUUUGGUAAAUCGUGCUGACCCGUGAUAGGUGGCACCUCGGUAAACAGUACUGACCCGUGAUAGGUGGUACGUUUACGAUUUACGUUUUUUUGGUAAAUUGUGCGGACCCGUGAUAGGUGGCACCUUGGUAAAUAGUACAUUGGCCUGUGAUAGGCGGUACAUUUACGAUUUACAAUUUUUCUUUUAGUAAAUCAUGCUGACCCGUGAUAGGUGGCACCUCGGUAAACAGUACUGACCCGUGAUAGGUGGUACGUUUAUGAUUUAUGUUUUUUAGUAAAUCGUGCUGACCCGUGAUAGGUGGCACCUCGGUAAUUGGUACUUUGGCCUGCGAUAGGCGGUACAAUUAUGAUUUACGGCCCUUCGAGGAGGGUUUUGGUUUGGAAUUCCGAGUCCAUGCAUUUUGGCAUAUACGCAUCGCAUUAGGGUGCUUGGCACACGAGUCGUGUUUGAAUCAAGUAUAUGAUUGAGUGGUUUGAAUUGGAAUUGUUGUGGUAAUUGUGUUGGAAUUGCUAAGUGUUAUGUAUUGACUAUCGUGUGUGAGUGCUCCAAUUAUAAAUCCAAACCAUUUACCCAACAACAAAUGGUACAUGUAACCCAUCGAAAAUAACAUGUCAAGCUGACAAUAUUAGUAUAGGUACAGUCUUCCGUUUUAAAAUAAAUGCAAUACAAAAGAAAGACAUCUGAUCCCUCUAUGUCAACCUAAUCUGAUCAUUUUACAACACCACUAAACACCCUGACUGAUCUCCACGCGCCCCGUGAGAUCCCCCUAUCGUAGCUGCAGUCAAGCGUUCCCAUCUCCAUUUCCGUCCGUAGGGUACGAACCGGUAGGAUCGUCCUGACUCUCAUCUGAGGGCAAAGCCCAGAUUUCCACAAUAAUUGUAAAGGUCACCAACCGAAAAUAACAGUUAACACAUAACAUUUAAGUUUUAAAUGCUAAAAAUAACUUUUCAACUAAGCAUGCACCUUAGCAGGAUUUUCAAUAUGCGAAAAGUUCAUACAAUACUUUGCCAGUUAAAAUGAAAGAAAAAUGAGGUUCUCAAUCCCCUAAUUAUAACAUAACAAAUCAAGACACGGAUAGUUUCAUGAGCAAACAAUCAUACAACUAGAACUGAGGAUUUUCACCGAGCCAAUCGAUUAGGCAAUCAAUUGGGGUGAAGGAUUUUGAUGAAGACAGAAUCUUGGGCUUUAUUCAAUCGAUUGGGAAAUCGAUUGAGUGAGUACUGAGCCCUAGAUUUUCAAGCCAAUCGAUUUCCAAAUCAAUUUGGUCGAAUAUGGAUGAGUCCCUGACUUAAGGCCAAUCGAUUGCCAAAUCGAUUUCUUAAAUGAUUUCGAAAAACUGAUUACAAAAUCGAUUGGCCAAUCGAUUUUGUUACUUUAGCUAGGUCCCUGUUAACCUAUCAAAUCGAUUGGGAAAUCGAUUUCCCUGUAUAUUCUUUCAAGAAUUCAUAAACUAACUCAAUCACAUUCAUGCAUAAUCCCAAUUCUUAACACUUAACACUGAUAACACAAUUACUACGACAUCAUGGAUUUUGAAAUGGUAUUGCAAUCAAACAUGUUAUCACCAAAUUCCAAAACAUAACACUUAGCAUUUAUAACACUUUACUACACAAACCAAAAUGAACCAACAGUUCACAAAUUAACAGGGUGUAGUCUCUCACGGACAAACACAUGUGCAGUCUCUUACGGACAAACACAAUUCCUUCAGGAACGUAAGUCGUAAACGUACUACCUAUCACGGGUCCGUACCGUUUACCGAGGUGCCACCUAUCCCGGGUCUGCACAACUUACCAAACGUAAAUCGUAAACGUACUGCCUAUCACGGGCCCGUACCGUUUACCAAGGUGCCACCUAUCACGGGUCUGCACGAUUUACCAAAACACACAUAAGUAAACGAGACAUUAAGAGAUUCCCCAUUCUUAAUUCUCAUCUAACUUAAACCAGGGCGUAGUCUCUCACGGACAAACCCCUGCGCAGUCUCUCACGGACAAACGCAAUUCCCGCAGGAACGUAAGUCGUAAACGUACUACCUAUCACGGGUCCGUACUGUUUACCGAGGUGCCACCUAUCCCGGGUCUGCACAACUUACCAAACACAAUUCCCUCAGGAACGUAAGUCGUAAAAGUACUACCUAUCACGGGUCCGUACUGUUUACCGAGGUGCCACCUAUCCCGGGUCUGCACAACUUACCGAAACACACAUAAAUAAACGAGACAUUAAGAGAUUCCCCAUUCUUAAUUCUCAUUUAACUUAACGAUUUUCAAGACAAAACAUUCAGUAAAUAAGUCAUUAAGAGAUUCCCCAUUCUUAAUACUCAUUUACUGAAACGAUUUUCAAAAACGAACAUUAAGUAACCGAGACAUUAAGAGAUUCCUCAUUCUCAACACCCAAUUAACUUAAACGAUUUCAAAAACGAACAUUAAGUAACCGAGACAUUAAGAGAUUCCCCAUUCUCAACGCCCAGUUAACUUAAACAAUUUUCAAAACAAAAUAAUAAGUAACCGAGACAUUAAGAGAUUCCCCAUUCUUAACGCCCAGUUAACUUAAACAAUUUUCAAAACAAAAUAAUAAGUAACCGAGACAUUAAGAGAUUCCCCCUCCUUAACGUCCAGUUAACUUAAACGGUUUUCAAAACAAAAUAUUAAGUAACCGAGACAUUAAGAGAUUCCCCAUUCUUAACGCCCAGUUAACUUAAACGAUUUUUCUUUAAAACAAAAUAUUAAGUAACCGAGACAUUAAGAGAUUCCCCAUUCUUAACGCCCAGUUAACUUAAACAGUUUUCAAAACAAAAUGUUAAGUAACCGAGACAUUAAGAGAUUCCCCAUUCUUAACGCCCAAUUAACUUAAACGGUUUUCAAAACAAAAUAUUAAGUAACCGAGACAUUAAGAGAUUCCCCAUUCUUAACGCCCAGUUAACUUAAACGAUUUUUCUUUAAAACAAAAUAUUAAGUAACCGAGACAUUAAGAGAUUCCCCAUUCUUAACGCCCAGUUAACUUAAACGAUUUUCAAAAACAAAUAUUAAGUAACCGAGACAUUAAGAGAUUCCCCAUUCUUAACGCCCAGUUAACUUAAACGAUUUUUCACAAACAAACGCACAUUAAGUAAACGAGACAUUAAGAGAUUCCCCAUUCUUAACGCCCAGUUAACUUAAACGAUUUUCAAAACAAAAUAUUAAGUAACCGAGACAUUAAGAGAUUCCCCAUUCUUAACGCCCAGUUAACUUAAACGAUUUUCAAAACAAAAUAUUAAGUAACCGAGACAUUAAGAGAUUCCCCAUUCUUAACGCCCAGUUAACUUAAACGAUUUUUCACAAACAAACGCACAUUAAGUAAACGAGACAUUAAGAGAUUCCCCAUUCUUAACUAAAAGUUUGGAAGGAGCCCUUACCUUCGCGUUAGCUCUAACGUGCGUUUCCGGUACCGCGAGCAAAUCCGGUAAAAAUCUCCGCUCGCAACGUCGCCUCCAAAUUGGUCCCCUAGCACCGUAGCGUGGUAGUGAGCAACUUUCCCUUCUAUCUCUUCGAGAAAUGAAGCUUGGAUCUAGAAGAAACGGAGGGGUUUGUGUUUGGAUCUCAAAUACCGUUUUUCUUCGUUUUCGAAUCAAAGAGGAAGAGUGGAGUUGCGAAAUCCUUGUCCUAACUCUCACCCAACCUUGGGUUACUAGUUUUGAAGAAAGGAAAGCGACGAAAAUGAAAACGGGAGAAGGAGGGAGAAAUGGCCGCGGUUGGCAGAGGAAGAAGAUGGAAAAUCAGAUUUUCCUUCCUUCCUUUUUCCUUUCUUUGUUUUUCCUUCCUUUCUAUUUCCUUCUUUCCUUUAUAUAACCUUUCCUUUUCCUUUUCCUUUCUCCAAGCAAACAUAUAUAUACUAAAUAUAACUUAACAAAUAUCUCAAAAUGUCUAGAUAUUUGUUAAAUUACCAUUUCACCCGUAAUGCAUUAAAUUCUCCGUAAAGGAUUUACCGCACGUAAUUUAAAUUUAUUUAUCGACGAGUAAAUCUAAACGAGGUCAAAAUAACUUUUUGAUCCUAUACACUCCAUAAUAUUAUUAAUUUUGGUUAAAAAGCCUCCGGGUCAAAAUCCAAAACACAAUAAAUACAUAAAGUGUACUUUAAAAUUAUGGGUCUUACAAUACGCAUCGCAUUAGGGUGCUUGGCACGCGAGUCGUGUUUGAUUGAAGUUUAUGAUUGAGUGUUUUGAAUUUGAGUUGUCGUGGUAAUUGUGUUGAAAUUGCUAAAUGAUAUGAAUUUUUAUUGUGUGUAAGUGUGAUGGAUUGUAGAACUAUUUCGAAACUCAAUUUGUCGUGGUGAUCGUGUGGGAAUUACUAAGUGUUAAGAUGUGAAAUUGUGUAUGAAUGUGAUUGAGUUAGUUUCUGUAUUUUUGGAAGAAUAAGCAGGGAAAUCGAUUUCCCAAUCGAUUUGAUGAGUUGCAGAGACUUCACAAAUUUGACAAAAUCGAUUUGCCAAUCGAUUUCGCAAUAUGUUUUUCAAAACCUUUUAAGAAAUCGAUUUGGAAAUCGAUUGGCAGUAAGACAGGAACUCAGCAAAACUGACAAAAUCGAUUUGAAAAUCGAUUGACAUCAACACAGGGGCUCAAUUAUUCAUUCAAUCGAUUUCCCAAUCGAUUGAAUUAAGCCCAGAGUUCAGUUUUUACAAAAAUCCUUCAUCCAAAUCGAUUUCCCAAUCGAUUGGCCCAGUGAAAAUUCUUAUUUUGAGUUAGAUAACAAAUUGCUCAUUGAUUUAUCAAUGUCUUGGUUAGUUAUGUAUUACUUGAGGGAUUGAGAACCUUAUUUUGAUUUCAUUUUUAUUUGGCAAGUGUUACAUGAACUUUUAGCAUAUGGAAAAUCCUUUUAAGGUGCAUGCUUAGUUGAAAGGUUAUUUUGUGCAUUUAAAAACUUAAAUGUUAUGUGUUAACUGUUAAUUUCGGUUGGUGACCCUUUACAACUAUUGUGGAAAUAUGGGCUUUGCCCUCAGAUGAGAGCCAGGACGAUCCUACCGGUUCGUACCCUACGGAUGGGAAUGUAGAUGGGGAUGCUUGACUGGAGCUAUGUUAGGAGGAUCUCACGGGGCGCGUGGAGAUCACUCAGGGUGUAUAGCUAUAGUUUUUUUUGAAGAAUGAUCAGAUUAGGAUGACAUAGAGGGAACAAAUGUUUUUUUGGAUUACGUUAUUUUGAACUAGAAAUGUGUACCAUUAAUAAUAUUGUCAGUAUGACAUCUUAUUUGAAUGGGUUCCACGUAUUAUUUGUUUUUGUGUAAAUACUUUGGAUUCAUAUUUUGAGAAACUUUUCCGCUGCUUGUAAAUUAUAAUGACUCAAUUAUUUAUCCAAAGGUAUUUCCUUAUGUAAUUCUCUGUUCUAUUUUAAUUUCUUUUGAAAAAAAAAAUACUCUCGCUUUGAAAAUCGGGGUGUUACAAUAGUGGUGUUAGUGUGCCUUCAACAAUCUUGGGGUGUCAGAUUGUGUGUUCGUCAACAGUUUGGGGUUGUCAAGCUGUUUAAGAAGACUGAAUUGGAGGCUAAGCUGCUUUGUAAUUCAAGUUGUUGAAUUAGUAGAUUAAAUCCUUAUAAGGGAAGGGAUAGGAUGUAGCCAAGUUAAUGGUGAACCAGGAUAAAUUACUUGUGUCAAUUUAUUCUUGCACUCCUUAGUUUUGUUAUUGCUUCUACUUUAAGUAAAUAAUCAAGUCUAAACCAGUUUAAUCAAAUAAUGAAAAAGUUAUCAACUUAGUCAAACACAAUUCAACCCCUUUUUCAUGUUUGCACCUUCACAUUUGAUUUUUACUUAAGAUUAACCUCAAAUUUGCAUGUCCUAAUCUUUUGUGCCUUAUUUGUUGUUCCUCGCUUACAGGCCUAAGACACUUGACUUCUAGUUUGUUUAAGUUAGAUAAAUUUAUUUGGUAAAUGUUGUUUUUCCAUAAAUGUUGUUUUUCCCUUGGCCAAUAAGUAGUGUGGAUCAAUCUGUUUAACUUAUUUCCUUAAACGACUUUUGAUUGAAGAUGACAUCGUAACCAAUGUCGCUUAAUUGAAUUAUGCUCAUUAGGUUAUGCAUUAGUCCUUUUACAAGUAAAACAUUCUUAAUAAAAGGAAGAAAAUCAUUACCUAUUUGUGUCGUGCCCAAAUGAUCUUACGCUUCUAAUCACCUCCAAAUUCUCUAAAUCCUUUGUUCUUUAGGGUCAGGUCUUGAAACAUAGUUUUUUCUCCUGUCAUGUGUCAUAAGCAUCCAUUGCCCGAGUACCAUGACUGGUGUUUCAACUUUGUUGCUAAAUAUCUGCAAGAAAAAUUAUUUUAUUCUUAGGUACCCAAAUUUGGUUGGGUCCUAAUUUGUUAUUUCUAAAAGGUAUAUUGUCAUUCCAUGUUAUUUUCUUAUCACCUUUCUUAUGGCAGUAUGCGCAAACAAUAUUAGGCUGAGUAAUCUAGGAUUUUCUUUCGUUUCUUCAAAGCAUAUGCCACGUUUAUUGUUUCUGCUAACACCAUAGAUCAUUGAAGCUUGUUUACUUUUCUCUACGCCAUUUACAAGAAAUUCUUGAAAGGCUAUUUCAUACUUCAAAAAUUGAAGACUUUAUCCUCUAAAUUUUUGAAACAUUUUCUUCCAAAGUUUGAUUUUCCCUUUUAUGGUUUUCAAAAUUCUUUUCAAGGGAAGCAUUUGUUUGUUAAUAUGUCAUUAGAUUUUCUAAGAGAUUUAAGUUUUGAAGAAACAUAAUGAUUAUUGUAAGAGAAUACCUAAAUUUCUUCAUCAACAGAUUCAAAGUCAAAAUCAUAGUGAGUAUAUGCCAUUAGAGCCUUGUUUGCAUGCUUUUCAUCUUCAUCAGAUGAUUCAUCAGAGUCAUCCGAAGUAGCCGUAAGACCUUUCUUUUGUGUCUUGAAGUUUUUCCUCUAGGAUUUUCCUUUCUCAAGUUUAGGACAUUUUGAUUUGAAAUGACUUGGUUCCUUGCAUUCAUAACCGAUGAGGUUUUCUAUGUCUAGCUUCUCACUUCCUUAUCUGUUAUUUUGGGACUGUUUGAAAUCUCUUUAGGGAAAGGAUUUCUUUCUAUUGUUCCCCAUGUGCUGGAUUUUUCUUGAGAUAAAAGACAUAUUUUCAUUAACUAAGUCUUCACUACAAUUUCCCACUUUUUUUCCUCUUAGCCUUCAGUUGCUUGUAGAGCUUAAGAGAUCGUCUUUUUUCCUUGGGAUUUGAGAGCCAAAGACUUUGACUUAUUUUUGGGUUCAUCUUCAACCAAUUCAAUCUUAUUGGGUUUGAGUGAACUCAUCAACUAUUCUAGACGCAAUUUGUUUUAGAUCCUUAACCUCUUGAAUAACUAUUUCGUUUGGUCUCCACUUACUGGGAAGACUUGUGACAAUCUUCUUUAUACGGUUGGUAGUAGCAUAGCUCUUUUAGAGAACCUUCAGCCCAAAAACCAAAGUUUGGAAUCCUGAAAAUAUUUUAUCAAUGUCUUCAUCUACUUCCAUCUAAAAGACUUCAUAUUUUUUUACGAGUAGAUUUUCUUUGUCUUCUUGUAUAAGCUUGGUUCCUUCGAUUAAGAAUCAGGGCAUCAAAGAUACUCUUAGUUGUUUCUUUUUGGCUGCACCUUUCAAACUCUUUGAAGGUGAUAACAUUCAUCAUGAAUGUUCUGGCUUUGUGAUGCAUUUUGUAUUGUUUCUUUUGAUUACCGUCAAAAUUCUUUCUGGAUAUUUCAACACCAGCAGCAUCUUUUGGAUCCUCGCAACCAUUUUUUACUAUGUCCGAGAGUUCAAUACUUGAAUCCUUUUCCAUCAAACAAGGGAGGCAUGUUAACGUUUGCACAUGUAACAUCUUCACCACAGUUAGCCAUAAAAACAAAUCUUUACUCAAACACAAUUAUGUGCUCAACUUUGAGACCAAGCUCUGCUGCCAAUUGUAGAAUGAGAAACACAAGAAAAAGGUGUGUGUGUGUGUGUGUGUGUGUGGGGGGGGGUUGAAUUAUAUUUCCUAUUUAAAAUGUUAUUCGCGUGGAUAAAAUAAAGUAAAGAAAUCAGAGUAGGUAAUUAAAAAUAGAACAGAAAGACACAACCGAUUUAUCCUGGUUCACCACCAACAUGGUAGCUAUGUCUAUCCCGUUCAACCUAAAGGAUUUAAUCCGCCAAUUUACCACAAAGUCAAACUUACACUUGAACACCUACGAGUCACACUAACUAUAUUCAAUCUUAUUAACCCUCUAACCUAGUACAGCCAACCCGUUGAAGAAGGAAGCCAUUACUGGGCUAGGUUACAUAAGAAAAGGUUUGGGGUUUUCUGAAUUGGCUCUCAUAAAGAGUGUUUACAAAUCUGUUCAUUCAGAAAAUUUUUCUCAGCACUAAAGUGAAAAAGAAUGAUUAUGAGCAAGAGUGCAAAUGUACAUAUAGCUCGUGUGUAUGUUUUAUUUCUUUUAUGAAUGCACGUCCUUUUAUAAAAAUCGAUUAGGAUUUCUGAUCGUUGUCUUGAUUGCAAGAAAUCAACAUAAUUAAUGAAGUUUUGUAUCGUAUCUUUUGAGAUUGUUUUCCAUGGAAACUUUCCGAAACAGAUCUUCUAAUUGAUUUAGUGUAUCCUAUUUAAAACAAUUGGGAAGAAGAUUGUACGAUGGUCAAAGAAUGUCUUAAGAUCUUCAGACAGGUAGCAAAUUCAGGAUGUUCAUUAGAGGAUGCACAAAUACUUUGUUUUACUUGGAGUGUUGGCUUUCAUCAAAGUGUGCAACAUAAAUUAGAGUUAGACAAUCAAAUACUUGAAGCAAUCAUUUGAUUAAUAGAGGUAGACGUUCACUUGCUUGUUAAGCUUAUUAGAGGCGGAAAAACACUUGUUUUAGUCAAUCUUAUUAGAGGCAAGCGUACAGAGCAUAGUUGCGUUCAGUAGAGGUAACUGAAACAAAACAUAUGAUGUAUUUCCAGAGUCUCUAGUGAAGUAGCAAUGUUAAUCACAAAAAGAGGGGUUCGAAUAGUGAUUCCCUUUUUAUAAUUAAAUUAUGUAUUGAAAAUAUUUUAACUCAAGAAUUAUCUUGGUUUGAUAAACAAUAAAAGCAUAAAGUUAUUCGUUAGUAAUAUAACAAUAAAAACUUAAUGAAGUGAUCAUUGCUAAUUGAGUGAUAAAUAAAUGGAGAUACAUGAUAGAAAGAUCACACACAAAACAUAUACUAGUUCACCCAACUCGGGCUAGUCUAGUCCUCACAACCGUGAGAUUUUCACUAUGUGUUUCAGAACCAAGAAUGUUCUUCUUCAAACCUUUUCUGUUGAUCACACCUGGAUCAAUUAUAAUCUUCACCUUUCUACCUAGAUUUAUACAAUCACCUUUCAGCCUUGAAAGGAUUUUUACAAACACACUCAAUCUAACAUAAAAGAUAGACUUGAGUUUCAAAUGAUGUGUAUGAUAAAAGUGUUUGGGAUCUUGAAACUUCUCAACACUUGUUUGAGAUAAAUAAAGAAAAACUCAGUAAAUGACGAUCCAAAGAUAUAGUGAAUAGAGUUUGAGUUUGCUUGAAGAGUUUUAGACUUGUUACUACUUGAACAAGUUUUGGUUGAUUUGUAAAUUGAACUCUUGCCUUCAUCUUCUAAUUGAUCUUCAAUUAUAUACGAUAAAAGGCUUUGAAUAUUUAAUUUAAAAUAAAUAUAGUUGUUGGACACACUUCCUAAGUGUUAGAUAUAUUUUAAAGAAAUUAAAAAUGUGUUUAUAUUGAUGUCUAGAACGUUUUUGACAAAUGAAGAACAUUCUUGCUUUUGGGUUUGAUGGAAAGCGUGAAUGAGUGAGUGAAUGAGCUGUGAAAUGUCAGUUUUGUACUAUUUUCAAUCAAAAUUAUGCAGAACUUUAUGCAGAAAAUUGUAAGUACAAUGUACUUGUGUCCUUGCUCACAACUAAUCAAUUAGGAGAUCAAUGUUGAGGCUGUUUUCCUUCUUUGGGCAUUCAACAAAAAAGUUUAUUUCAUAAAGUUUGUUGUCAUUAAAUAAAGACAAAUUCAGUAAAGCAUACAUCAAAAAAGUUAUUACCUCAACAUCCAGAACCAGAGCAUUGCUUGCAUUAUCGGAGUCAACCAUCAUAGAGUGUCGCUCAUGUCACUUGAAGCGCGUGUUAGAGAACUUGCAUUAGACUUAAAAAAAAACAAAGUGAAGCGAAGUCUUGUUGUUCUUUUUCAAUUCACUGAUCUAAGACCUGCACACUUAAUCAAAAUAUUAGUGUAUUAAAUUGUUCCCACAAACUAAUUUUGUUAUCAUCUAAAUAAAUAAUGAGCAUAGUUCUUCAAACCAACGUUGUUCAGACAAUGUCCACAACUCAUAUGGAGAUUGUGAAUAAAUAAUGGAUGGUGUUGCUGCUUUGCAUAUUCAUGCAGAAUAAGAUUUAUGGUGGGCUCUUGAUCUAAUAGGAAAUUCAGAAGUGUGCUUUUGUCACAAAUUUAUGUCAAAAGAAAGGUGGUGGAUGAACUCGAUGAAUAGAUGAGUGGUGGAUGAACUGUCAAUAAAAAUAUUUACUCAAAUUAGUGACACAACAAUUAAGAACAGAUUCAACCUGAUGUAGUAACCCCUAUGAAUCUUGCUUAAACCACCCCUCAAGAAAAGAAUGUUGCAUUUUGGAAGUUUAUGCAACGCUAUAAAGAAUACCAUAACAAAGUUUGGACAACAUUACUUUGGGAUUCACAUGGCUGAAUUCCCAAUUUUCCUUGUUGAAAUACUGACCGAAGAUGGAUGGCAAGGAUGUAGAAUCAAGCAAAGCUACAAGAUGCAACACAUGAUACUACUACUACAUCCAUGACCGAGACCAAGAAUAAGAAGAAGAAUGGAAAGGAAAAGCGGAAAAAGAAGAGUAAAAACAGAAAGGAGAAGAUGCAGAUUGAAGAUGGUAAGCCCACAACAACUGAAGUUGAGCUAGAAAAUGAACCAG
RNAcentral lists this long non-coding RNA (18031 nucleotides) under Cicer arietinum (chickpea). Its description in RNAcentral is "long non-coding RNA (CARI_LNC000252)". The record is from RNAcentral. Lineage: Eukaryota; Viridiplantae; Streptophyta; Magnoliopsida; Fabales; Fabaceae.